This 253-nucleotide ribosomal RNA is filed under the name uncultured bacterium. RNAcentral's name for it is "partial 16S ribosomal RNA". It matches the Rfam family "Bacterial small subunit ribosomal RNA", at positions 524 to 776 of the family's 1533-position model. The record is from RNAcentral.
UACGGAGGGUGCAAGCGUUGCUCGGAAUUAUUGGGCGUAAAGCGCACGCAGGCGGCGAGGUAAGUCAGACGUGAAAUCCCUCGGCUUAACCGGGGAACUGCGUCUGAUACUGGAUGGCUUGAAUCCGGGAGAGGGAUGCGGAAUUCCAGGUGUAGCGGUGAAAUGCGUAGAUAUGUGGAGGAAUACCGAUGGCGAAGGCAGCCUCCUGGGCCAACACUGACGCUCAGGCACGAAAGCGUGGGGAGCAAACAGG